CCUGGAGUUCAAGUUAUAACUCAGCAUAUCACUAAGCAAAAAUGUGAGCUUAAUGUCUUAUGUUACAACAUACAAGAAGCUACAACAGAUAGACAAUGGUUAGCAAGAAUGAUCUUUUCCAGAAUCAAGAAAAUCAUCAUACAUAACUGCAAACAUUAGAAGUUGUCAAAAAACAAAGCUACCGCCAUGAGGCGGGAAAGAUAAUUCCCCUGCCUCUACCAUUCCUGAUUGUUGGUUAUCAUCAGAAGCACAUAUAUGUAUAGGAAAACUGAUAUUUUUCAAGGGUGCAACAUGGAUCUGGAGAUAAUUUAGUGUGCAAGAAUUUCACUUUCACAUCUGACUUCCUUUGCAACAUAUUCUCUCAAGACAAGUUCCACUUCUUUCACCACUCCUAACCUUCUAAACCACCCAGCUAGUAUUUCUGAAGAUUCUUUGCCAACCAUGAUUCUCUCCCUCUCCAAACCUAUUAGAAAGUCCAAUGCUUCUUUGAGGUUGUUCUCCUUCUCAUAUGCAGCCAAUACCAGGGCUAUACAUUUAUCAUUAGGCUCAAUACCAGCGCUCCUCAUAUUUUCAAAUGCGAUGAGCGCCUGUUGACUUUGCCCUGCCAUUUGAUAAGCAUUUAUAAGGAGUCCACAUAUUUUAACAUCUGGAGGAAUACCUGCAAACUGAAUUGCAUCAAACACCCUCUGAGCUCCAUCAGCAUCACCAACCAUGGAAUAUGCUCUCAACAAUGCCUUGUAAACUUCUCUUCCUGCACAAAUUUCUUGGCCAUCCAUUUCUCCAAGUAAAACCUCCCCUUUUCCAGGCAUUCCUGCUCUGAUGUAGGCCAUGAUCAUUGAAUCAUAUGCUCUUCUAUCCAAUGGGUUCCCAAGCAGCUUGAGCUCUUCAAAAGUUUCCUCAGCCUGCUUAAGAUUACCAGCCUUGCUGUACAUGUAAAUCAUGGUAGUUAAGGUUACUUGAUCAAUUUCGAAGCCUCUUCUCCUCAUGGCAAGGAGAGCAUUUUCAGCAUCUUGAACCUGUUUUUGCUUCCCAUAAAAAUGAAUUACUUUUGUGUAAUCACGAACAUUGGCCUCAAAAGAUUCUUCAAGCAGGGCUAGUUCAGCCACCUGAAUAUAAAGAGGAUGUCCCAUCUUGUUCAAUUGUUUAAGAACAGCAAGCCACUCAGUUCGUCUAGGCUUCAUAAUCCUCACCCAAGCACCCAACAAAUCUGAUAAACUGGCAUUCUGCACUAGGUAAGAAUAGCAAAUUAUCUGCCUCAUGAGGGCCUUACACCGAUUGGUCAUCUUUGGUGGGAGUUCAGCUAUAGCUUGUUUUUGUGCUUCUGUGACAUUAGCGCCAAUCUCAACCCACUUAAACCUUGGUUUCCCUUCUUUGACUUCGAUUUUUCCCAUCUCUUCCACGCUGGGAGCAGCUAAUAAAGGUUGCAUAUGGGAUUCACAUCUAAAAAAGUUUACAGAUUUUUGAAAUAACAAGCUCCUAAGGAAUUGAGCGUAAUUGGGUUUGGUGGAUUCAGUAUUUAGUGGGCAAGUUGGGAAGCGCAAUGGGAGAAGGUUAUCCACACAAAGUGCCAUUACCAGGGCUGAGCAAAAAAAUGCACAAAACAAAGCUAAUUGCAGAUAUGGAGAUAAAGACCGCACAAUGGAGACACAUACGCUAUUGUUCUUUGUUCCUUGCGGAGAUGGUUGGGGCGGUAAGGGAGUAAGACUGAUUCAU
RNAcentral lists this unclassified non-coding RNA (1713 nucleotides) under Hevea brasiliensis (rubber tree). Lineage: Eukaryota; Viridiplantae; Streptophyta; Magnoliopsida; Malpighiales; Euphorbiaceae. The record is from RNAcentral.